UACGUAGGGGGCGAGCGUUGUCCGGAUUCAUUGGGCGUAAAGCGCUUUAAGGCGGUUCGCUAAGUCUGGUGUGAAAGCUCCAGGCUCAACCUGGAGACGCCACUCGAUACUGGCGUGACUAGAGUUCGGUAGGGGACCACGGAAUUCCUGGUGUAGCGGUGAAAUGCGCAGAUAUCAGGAGGAACACCAGUGGCGAAGGCGGUGGUCUGGGCCGAUACUGACGCUGGAGAGCGAAAGCGUGGGGAGCGAACAGG
Molecule: ribosomal RNA, 254 nt
Filed under: uncultured bacterium
Lineage: Bacteria
Description: partial 16S ribosomal RNA
Rfam family: Bacterial small subunit ribosomal RNA
Source: RNAcentral